CCGGGCAGCUGCGACGCAAGCGAGCCGGGAGAUACCAAAGUUGUUGACACGGUCACAGGUGUUGUCGUCAACACGUCCUGUGAAACUCGUGAGACAUUCACGCAAGCUGUCAAACGCUACCAAGUGCGUAAAAUGUCGAAUAGCAGUCACUUGCAACGUCGUCGGCGUCUGAUGCGAAAAAGUUUCUGCCGCAACGAACAUAUAUGUCGUCAGCUGUCGAAUUGCAGCAUGUAGUCAAGCAACCGCGCACUUGAUCAAACGCGAAGUUGUUUUAUGUCGCUAAUAAAAUCUCCUUAGCGUGCUCACUCAUUACCAGAGUCUGCUUUUGUCUUUCGGGUGAAGGUUUGUGGAGAAAACGCGAAAUUUAGUGUGCGUUCACUCCUCCUCGCGCAAACACACCGAGACGCUAAAAAUGCCAACUAAUCCACAAGUAAGUAAUCUACAAUUUGGGACGUCGUCAAGACAACUCGUAAAUCAUCUCGUUUAAUAGCAACAGCAGUCAAGUAACGCUAAGGAUAUAGUUAACUGGGAAAACGGAACCGCUAUCAUCAAAUUGCAGUUCUCAAGUUUAACAGCUUCCAGAUAACAUCCAAAAUAGCACACACUUCACACGUCAUUCAAUUCAUCCGUGAAAUAUCACAAACAUGGAUGAAUAAUCAAAUACUAUUUUAUAUGUAAAUAUUUUAAACUGCUAAAUCUGUACCAACAUUUCACAUCGUGUAAUAUUUGUGCUCAGAAAUUAACUGGGCAUUUUUCAUUUAUGACCAGAUUUCUUCUUAUGAAUAUUUCUGAUUUGAAACUUGGCUAUCCCAUCAAUUUGCUGUCAUACUAUGAUGCGACAAUUAAACAUUUAUAUGGCUUGAAGUCUCCUGCCCAUAUUUAGUCAUGAUUGUAUAACUCAUAAACUUGAGUUAAACACUUUAUUGUAACCAGAUGUUAACCAGUUAACCUUGCUGAAUUGUUUACUGCACACCAGGAUGUAGGAAUGUGCCGGUUAUUACCAGCUAGAAGUGGUUUCGUCCUUAUGAUGCGGGUCUCUUGUGAUGCCCUGUGAAGCCCUUUAUUUCCCUUUCAUUCUUUUGUGAUGCGGGCCCUUCUGAUAGUAUUAGAAUGCUGUAAGUCCUCUGUAUCUUCACACUUGUGAUCUGCCACAGCCAUCGUCUGUAAGUCAUUUUUGCCAGGAAUAUUUUGUCAGUAGAAGCUUUGAAGGAACAUUUCGUCAUCUCGAGCCUGUAUUUGGACAACCAAUCCUCACUGCCCGAAAUUAAACGAACACGCGAAAGAAAAAACGUCCUCCCAACAAUUGGCGACCCUGACGUGAUUUCCGACUGAGGUGUUGGUUGACAGAACGUCGGCUGGCCAACAAUUGAUGAGGCUCAGCUAUCCCGGCACUGGACGACAACUGGAAAACUGCGUCUUCCCCAGUGCCGGCUGGCACCUGUUGAUGAGAUCAUUCGAGGAGGGUUGAUUUCACAGUACACGGGCAGAAUAAACUCUGUGAAUCAACCUGGGACCAGGUAGUCUAACCCCAAGGUCCUGAAGAAGCUGGCUGCGCCCCAGCUCGACUCAAACCUCUCUCCUUGAUGUUCAUCAUGAGACUCUCUUCGACGCAGACAUCGGCAGGGAUGGCCGUCGUCUUGGUGGCUGCCGUCCUGGUGCAGCCAUGGAUCGCUGCAGGAGCAACCUCAGGAUGUCCCAUCCCGAUUCGCACGCAGCAUGUUAGAGUGGGGUUACGUGGAGUGUCCACAACCACUGUGACCAGCGAAGGAGAAUGCGUGAUGGUUCCGGGAAAUGCUCGAGUUACGUUUGAAUUCAAUGCAUGUAAAUUUUACCCCUGUUCUUGGGCUCCUAAUUAUCAGUAUUAUCUGUCUUCUGUAUCUUGGUCGUACUAUACCACCGUAGCGUACUCUGGGUUUGAUUGGCAGGUAUCCUGUGUCUAUCACCCCCACCCUAUCGAAUGUAGACAGAUUGCCGAGUGCCUCAGUUUAGUACGAGUAGGCCCCCUUGGUGUAGGACAUGCUCAUUUGAGUUUAACAGUGGAUCUUCGAUCACUGAACAUCUCUUCUCUCCUGACAACCACGACUUCGCACGCCCGCCCCCAUCAGAUCCCCAGAUGUUGUUGUAUUCCUCGUAUUCGAUCUUUGCAUCAGCGAUUGAUUACUGCCGCCAUUGAAAAAAAGGACAUUCAUGGUCCUCCGCCCUAUAAGAUGGCUGAAUUGCCUCCCCCUUCAGGUCCCAUGCCCGAUGUACUACACGCUCCGGACAACGCGACCGCAGGAACCUCUCUUUAAUUUUGUUUUCUUUCAGGUGUCAGAUUCUUUCGACACUAUGUGGCCCACAACAAAUACUGAUGAAAACCCUGGUCUGUGGUAAUGUUCGAAAUACUUGACUAUAUCAUUGGCUAAAACAACGUUACACGUUACACAAAUAAACUUAACACAUAAAUGGAAGAAAGUGGUUCUAUCAACUCAUUCACUCUGCGUGUGAUUUUUGGGCAGAAGUAGUUCACAUCUUUUGUCAGAACUACAGAAAAUGUGAACCAAACUGAAAGAAAAAGGUUGGUAAAGGGAUUUCCCAACUUAAUCUGAACAGAAAAUGUAUAACCUUUUCAUAAACCUGAUAAAACAAGAUUUUGGUUUUCUGGAUUAAGUAUUUUACCGUCUUUGAAUGGGAGGGAAAAAGCCCUUGCCCUUCUGUUCUAGUGAUACUUUUUGCGUGAAAUGACUUUUUUUUUCCAAAUGUUUUGCUUUUUUUGCGUUAUCUAGUACUGUCCUGCAAGUUUAACGCUUACGGCUGUUCUGAAUCAUGAGACUAUGGAUUUGUUAAAAGGUAUGUUUGGACGAUUAGUUUCCAUAUUUCUUGAAAUGUUACUUUUGGGAUUUUUGUGUUUGUUUUAGUGAUCGAUUUCAGAGAUCAAGAGAGGGAAUAAAGAGUAUUUUACUUUCAUUGCACUUAAUCAACAGUUAAAGUGUUGUCCAUUUGCUAAUCAGACAAGGAUGUCUUGUGGAGCCCGUGAGCCCUGAUCUUUGUACGCAGGAAAACCGAGUAGUGGCAGCCUCCUCUCCCAGGCGUUGCCGUGGAGACGAACGAUGGGGGGUGUGGGGCAGCCACUUUUACCAUGGACCCAUACAUAUAAAAACCUUGUAUUACCGGGCAGCUUUUGUCUUCUUCUUUGGCUAUCCUGCCAGAAGACACUCGGCAGCAGAUACCAAGAUAAGACGCGGACGUCUGUAUUUCACAUUCCUUUGUAAUAAAUCCAUUUGCUGUUAA
This is a long non-coding RNA of Syngnathoides biaculeatus (alligator pipefish), 3270 nucleotides long. RefSeq lists it as uncharacterized. Lineage: Eukaryota; Metazoa; Chordata; Actinopteri; Syngnathiformes; Syngnathidae. The transcript is spliced from 2 exons. The record is from RefSeq and is a predicted model, not a curated record.